GCGUCUGUAGCCUAGUUGGUAAAGGCAGCACUCUAGCUAGUAGUAUGUGUCUCAGCAUAGCUGAGGUCGUGAGUUCAACUCUCACCAGACACA
This 93-nucleotide transfer RNA is filed under the name Puccinia triticina. Its description in RNAcentral is "tRNA-Ala". It matches the Rfam family "tRNA". Rfam says of the family: Transfer RNA (tRNA) molecules are approximately 80 nucleotides in length. RNAcentral also lists the same sequence under 1 other name. Lineage: Eukaryota; Fungi; Basidiomycota; Pucciniomycetes; Pucciniales; Pucciniaceae. The record is from RNAcentral.